CCCUUAGAUGUUCUGGGCUGCACGCGCGCUACACUGACAUACUCAGCAAGUUUCCUUGCCUGAAAGGGUUGGGUAAUCUUGUUAGUGUAUGUCGUGAUGGGGAUAGAAUAUUGUAAUUAUUGCUCUUUAACGGGGAAUUCCUAGUAAGCGCAAGUCAUCAGCUUGCGUUGAUUACGUCCCUGCCCUUUGUACACACCGCCCGUCGCUCCUACCGAUUGGGUGAUCCGGUGAAUGAUUCGGACUCUGGCUAUGCUAGCUACUAGCUACGUCAGGGAAAGUUUUGUGAACCUUAUCACUUGGAGGAAGGAGAAGUCGUAACA
RNAcentral lists this ribosomal RNA (320 nucleotides) under uncultured eukaryote. RNAcentral describes it as "partial 18S ribosomal RNA". It matches the Rfam family "Eukaryotic small subunit ribosomal RNA", at positions 1470 to 1796 of the family's 1831-position model. The record is from RNAcentral.